GGAUUAGAAACCCCGGUAGUCCACGCCCUAAACCAUGUCAACUGGCUUUCCGGAGUAUCGACCCUCUGGGAGGCGAAGCUAACGCGUUAAGUUGACCGCCUGGGUAGUACGACCGCAAGGUUAAAACUCAAAGGAAUAGACGGGGGCUUGCACAAGCGGUGGAGCGUGUGGCUUAAUUCGUCGCUAAGCGAAGAACCUUACCAGGGCUAGAAAUCCUACUGCACGCCUAGCGAAAGCUAGGAAGCCUUCGAGGGUGUAGGACAGGUGAUGCAUGGCUGUCGUCAGUUCGUGGUUUGAACCGUUCCCUUCAGUGGGGUAACGAACGCAACCCUCGUUGUCUGUUACACGUAUCAGGCGAGACUGCCCCCUCACGGGGGAGGAAGGUGAGGAUGAC
Molecule: ribosomal RNA, 394 nt
Filed under: uncultured bacterium
Lineage: Bacteria
Description: bacterial SSU rRNA
Rfam family: Bacterial small subunit ribosomal RNA
Source: RNAcentral